RNAcentral lists this non-coding RNA (30 nucleotides) under Cricetulus griseus (Chinese hamster). Lineage: Eukaryota; Metazoa; Chordata; Mammalia; Rodentia; Cricetidae. The record is from RNAcentral.
UUCACUCAGCAGGGGGAAUUCCGUGUAGAC